This 377-nucleotide ribosomal RNA is filed under the name uncultured bacterium. RNAcentral describes it as "bacterial SSU rRNA". It matches the Rfam family "Bacterial small subunit ribosomal RNA", at positions 521 to 896 of the family's 1533-position model. The record is from RNAcentral.
UAAUACGUAGGGACCGAGCGUUGUCCGGAAUCAUUGGGCGUAAAGAGCGUGUAGGCGGCCACUUAAGUCCUGCGUGAAAUCCUGCGGCUCAACCGCAGGCGGUCGUGGGAAACUGGGUGGCUAGAGUGCGGGAGAGGAGAGUGGAAUUCCUGGUGUAGCGGUGGAAUGCGCAGAUAUCAGGAAGAACACCCGUGGCGAAGGCGGCUCUCUGGAACGCAACUGACGCUGAGACGCGAAAGCGUGGGGAGCAAACAGGAUUAGAUACCCUGGUAGUCCACGCCGUAAACGAUGGAUGCUAGGUGUGGGCGGUGUCGACUCCGUCCGUGCCGAAGCUAACGCAUUAAGCAUCCCGCCUGGGGAGUACGGCCGCAAGGCUA